GAUGAACGCUGGCGGCGUGCCUAAUACAUGCAAGUCGAGCGAACAGACGAGGAGCUUGCUCCUCUGACGUUAGCGGCGGACGGGUGAGUAACACGUGGAUAACCUACCUAUAAGACUGGGAUAACUUCGGGAAACCGGAGCUAAUACCGGAUAAUAUAUUGAACCGCAUGGUUCAAUAGUGAAAGACGGUUUUGCUGUCACUUAUAGAUGGAUCCGCGCCGCAUUAGCUAGUUGGUAAGGUAACGGCUUACCAAGGCAACGAUGCGUAGCCGACCUGAGAGGGGGAUCGGCCAAACUGGAACGGGGAAACGGUCAAGACUCCAAGGGGAGGCAGCAGUAGGGAAUCUGCCGCAAUGGGCGAAGGCCUGACGGAGCAACGCGGGGGGAGGAAUGAAGGUUUUCGGAUCGUAAAACUCUGUUAUUAGGAAAGAAAAAAGGUGUAAGUAACGAUGAAGGUCUGGACGGUACCAAAUAAGAAAGCCAGGGCUAACUACGU
This 496-nucleotide ribosomal RNA is filed under the name uncultured bacterium. Its description in RNAcentral is "partial 16S ribosomal RNA". It matches the Rfam family "Bacterial small subunit ribosomal RNA", at positions 28 to 506 of the family's 1533-position model. The record is from RNAcentral.